Molecule: microRNA precursor, 70 nt
Filed under: Chlorocebus sabaeus (green monkey)
Lineage: Eukaryota; Metazoa; Chordata; Mammalia; Primates; Cercopithecidae
Description: miRNA (ENSCSAG00000020096.1)
Source: RNAcentral
GGACCCGGCGGGGCUGGGCGCGCGGAGCGGGGCUGUGUGUGCAGCGCCGGCGCCGGCGCUGCGAGGGCUG